Neopestalotiopsis sp. 37M is the source of this 71-nucleotide non-coding RNA. Lineage: Eukaryota; Fungi; Ascomycota; Sordariomycetes; Amphisphaeriales; Sporocadaceae. The record is from the annotation of a GenBank genome assembly.
UGCGAGGUAGUGUAACGGUAACACAAUAGCCUCAUGAGCUAUUAUACAAGGUUCGACUCCUUGCCUCGCUU